AGCGAACGCUGGCGGCAGGCUUAACACAUGCAAGUCGAACGGGCAUCUUCGGAUGUCAGUGGCAGACGGGUGAGUAACACGUGGGAACGUACCCUUCGGUUCGGAAUAACUCAGGGAAACUUGAGCUAAUACCGGAUACGCCCUUUUGGGGAAAGGUUUACUGCCGAAGGAUCGGCCCGCGUCUGAUUAGCUUGUUGGUGGGGUAACGGCCUACCAAGGCGACGGUCAGUAGCUGGUCUGAGAGGAUGAUCAGCCACACUGGGACUGAGACACGGCCCAGACUCCUACGGGAGGCAGCAGUGGGGAAUAUUGGACAAUGGGCGCAAGCCUGAUCCAGCCAUGCCGCGUGAGUGAUGAAGGCCUUAGGGUUGUAAAGCUCUUUUGUCCGGGACGAUAAUGACGGUACCGGAAGAAUAAGCCCCGGCUAACUUCGUG
This 435-nucleotide ribosomal RNA is filed under the name uncultured bacterium. Its description in RNAcentral is "partial 16S ribosomal RNA". It matches the Rfam family "Bacterial small subunit ribosomal RNA", at positions 29 to 507 of the family's 1533-position model. The record is from RNAcentral.